UUUCACUGCCUCUUUAUAACAAGUUCCUCAUAUUAUUACAACUCAAGAAGCUCGAAAGCCAGCUUGCAAAUUUUGACCAAUAUCUUCCACUUCCGCCGGAAAUAGACAACGGCAAAAUCAAGAACUGCACUCACUCCAGGCCACGUGGUAAAUAAAUUAAUUUCCAUGCUCUUUUAACGACAGCAGCAAGACCCUCCAGCUCAUCAAGUCGACCAUCCACUGCACAUUCCUCCAGAGAUGGAAGGCAAACUCCCAUGCGGGCUACACCCAGUAGUGAUGGCAGCAGGUGUACAUCUUCUCUCAGCGAUCAUCUGGAUUCCAUGAAUGACAAACUGAAUGCACUUGAAAUUGAUAGAAUUACUGAUCAUCUAAGGCAAUUAUUACUUGAUGAAAAAGAAGGACUUCUGGGAGACAUUGCCUUUUUGCAGGUACAGUAGCGGUUGUAAAGUAUUGCACAAAGGUGUAUUCAAUUGGAAAAAGUGUGCCUGUGCACCCUUGACACUUUGUUUAUCCAGGUAGAUACUUCAUAAAUAACUUUUGUCAUUGGUUAUCUAGUCUAACCUUAAAUGGAGCAUUUUGAUUUUUUUCCCCAGGAACAGUCGAACCUCUCCCAACAGACACCUCCAUAAUAAGGACACCUCUAUAUUAAGGACAGCUAACUUAGUCCCAGAGAUACCAACGUUCAUAUAAUCUCUUCCUCUUUUAUAUGGCCAUCUCUAUGAUAUGGACACUCAGAUCUGCCCCAUUGGUGUCCGUGUUAGAGAGGUGUGACUGUAUUCCAAAUUUACCGUCAUUGACUUCUUAGAUGUACACUCAUAAUUGAAGAAGCUAGUGGUAGAAGGGAAUAAGUAACGAUUUUGGAAGUGUUUUUUUGUUUGGUCCAGAUUAGCUUAAUUUUUGCAUGUGGCCUAAAUAAAUUGUUUUUUGUACCAUAAUUUCUUGUUGAAGAAAUAUUCUUGCAAGUCUGUGGACCAAACCGAAGUGUCAAAAUCUGCAAAUUGCAAAAAA
Long non-coding RNA from Orbicella faveolata, 1008 nucleotides. The record is from RefSeq and is a predicted model, not a curated record. NCBI's taxonomy places the organism in Eukaryota, Metazoa, Cnidaria, Anthozoa, Scleractinia, Merulinidae.